Molecule: ribosomal RNA, 492 nt
Filed under: uncultured bacterium
Lineage: Bacteria
Description: partial 16S ribosomal RNA
Rfam family: Bacterial small subunit ribosomal RNA
Source: RNAcentral
AGUGAACGCUGGCGGUAGGCCUAACACAUGCAAGUCGAACGGCAGCACAGUAAGAGCUUGCUCUUACGGGUGGCGAGUGGCGGACGGGUGAGGAAUACAUCGGAAUCUACUUUUUCGUGGGGGAUAACGUAGGGAAACUUACGCUAAUACCGCAUACGACCUACGGGUGAAAGCAGGGGAUCUUCGGACCUUGCGCGAUUGAAUGAGCCGAUGUCGGAUUAGCUAGUUGGGGGGGUAAAGGCCCACCAAGGCGACGAUCCGUAGCUGGUCUGAGAGGAUGAUCAGCCACACUGGAACUGAGACACGGUCCAGACUCCUACGGGAGGCAGCGGUGGGGAAUAUUGGACAAUGGGCGCAAGCCGGAUCCAGCCAUACCGCGUGGGUGAAGAAGGCCUUCGGGUUGUAAAGCCCUUUUGUUGGGAAAGAAAAGCAGCAGGUUAAUAACCCGCUGUUCUGACGGUACCCAAAGAAUAAGCACCGGCUAACUUCGUG